AUAAUGGAUAGCAUGAGAUUCCUAGCUAAAGAUCCCGAGAGAAGAAGUAAAUGGAUUGCUUCCAUAAAACGUGCUAGAAGCAGACGGAACCAAACCGAGCCAUGGGAGCCCACAAACAAUGGAUUUCGGUUAUGCUGUGACCACUUCAUAUCAGAGAAAAAGAGUGACAACCCUCUGUCACCUGACUACGUUCCUUCAAUCUUCAAUCAUGUUCCAUCCCCGGAGAAGA
Molecule: long non-coding RNA, 229 nt
Organism: Perca flavescens (yellow perch)
Lineage: Eukaryota; Metazoa; Chordata; Actinopteri; Perciformes; Percidae
Exons: 2
Source: RefSeq, a predicted model, not a curated record